AUUGAACGCUGGCGGCAGGCCUAACACAUGCAAGUCGAGCGGAUGAAGGGAGCUUGCUCCUGGAUUCAGCGGCGGACGGGUGAGUAAUGCCUAGGAAUCUGCCUGGUAGUGGGGGAUAACGUCCGGAAACGGGCGCUAAUACCGCAUACGUCCUGAGGGAGAGAGUGGGGGAUCUUCGGACCUCACGCUAUCAGAUGAGCCUAGGUCGGAUUAGCUAGUUGGUGGGGUAAAGGCCUACCAAGGCGACGAUCCGUAACUGGUCUGAGAGGAUGAUCAGUCACACUGGAACUGAGACACGGUCCAGACUCCUACGGGAGGCAGCAGUGGGGAAUAUUGGACAAUGGGCGAAAGCCUGAUCCAGCCAUGCCGCGUGUGUGAAGAAGGUCUUCGGAUUGUAAAGCACUUUAAGUUGGGAGGAAGGGAAGUAAGUUAAUACCUUGCUGUUUUGACGUUACCAACAGAAUAAGCACCGGCUAACUUCGUG
This 484-nucleotide ribosomal RNA is filed under the name uncultured bacterium. Its description in RNAcentral is "partial 16S ribosomal RNA". It matches the Rfam family "Bacterial small subunit ribosomal RNA", at positions 30 to 507 of the family's 1533-position model. The record is from RNAcentral.